RNAcentral lists this ribosomal RNA (140 nucleotides) under Clostridium sp. RNAcentral describes it as "partial 23S ribosomal RNA". It matches the Rfam family "Bacterial large subunit ribosomal RNA", at positions 2786 to 2925 of the family's 2925-position model. Lineage: Bacteria; Bacillati; Bacillota; Clostridia; Eubacteriales; Clostridiaceae. The record is from RNAcentral.
CGUGAAGCCCCCCUCAAGAUGAGAUUUCCCAUAGCAUAAGCUAGUAAGACCCCUUGAAGAACACAAGGUUGAUAGGUCAGAGGUGUAAGUGUGGUAACACAUUUAGCUGACUGAUACUAAUAGGUCGAGGGCUUGACCAA